Molecule: long non-coding RNA, 536 nt
Filed under: Vulpes vulpes (red fox)
Lineage: Eukaryota; Metazoa; Chordata; Mammalia; Carnivora; Canidae
Description: lncRNA (ENSVVUG00000023244.1)
Source: RNAcentral
AUCCUGUGAACGACCCUAGAGUACAUUUUUUAUUUAUCUGUAGCCCUUAAAUUUCUCCUCUCUUGACUUGAUCCUUGAGGGCAAGGACCAUAUGUGUUCACUAUCGGCAACUAGCCCAGCAGCACACAGAAGCUGAAUGAACUCUGGUUGAAUAAAUGAAUGAGAAGUAAGGUAUGGGUACCUCGCGUUUUGAGCAGAAGGCUGCUAAUUUCUCACGUGAUCUUUAUCAAGAAGUACAGAAUCAGUGAGCAGCAUACAGCUACAGGAACAUGUCUCAGUGACCGUCUGCUUCCAGUGGGUCUGAGAUGGCAUGGAUGAGUGUCUGGGGGCCUGUUUAGAGCUCAGCCCCAGACAUAUCUCAGCCAAGGAUUAGAAACUGCUCUGUUCACACACCAGCUAUAGCCUGUAGCACAGAAACCAGGCCUGCUUUUCCAACACAUCGCUGUGCUGUUUGGUUAGGAGGGGAUUAAGGAUACGAAAAAGAAAAAAAGGUCAGUUUCUAUUUGUAGGUAAUUCUCAAUGUCCCUUCUCAGAAU